Schistocerca nitens (vagrant locust) is the source of this 1975-nucleotide long non-coding RNA. RefSeq lists it as uncharacterized. The transcript has 3 exons. The record is from RefSeq and is a predicted model, not a curated record. NCBI's taxonomy places the organism in Eukaryota, Metazoa, Arthropoda, Insecta, Orthoptera, Acrididae.
UGACCUGUGUUUGUUAUUGUUUUCGUCGAGGAGGUGGUAGAUGUUGCACUUGCAUGGAGCUGUUGUAGUACUUCAGUAAUAGGCUAUUGUGAUUUGUAAGAGAUGAAAACCGGUACGCAGGAACGCAAAAUUGUUGGAGAAAAAUCAGGAACGUAAUAUGCAUUCGUAUUCUGGGAGGCAAACAAGCUGAUCGAAGAUGAUUGUGGCUUCUUCAAAUGUAACUAUCGUUUAAACACGUUGAGAUGUUAAGUAAUGGAGUUGUUGAACUUUAUUUUGUGUCACUGAAGUUUAUAGCGAAAACCUCGCUAAAAAAAAGGAAGAGAAAUGCAGCAAAACUGGAGAUACAGUGGGAAAUUCGCAUUUGCAAAACAAGAUGCUGAAAUAGGAGGUGUAAUAAGUGAUGUAGUGGUCACCAUAUUGUAUGUGUUUGAAAUAGUGCACACUAUGUUGAUGGCAUUACUGGUCAAAACAGGCAAGUGGAGUCAUGACUUUACGUCAACCUACCUUUUAUAAUUGAGAAGUCGAUCACUUUAUAUAAACUGAAUUUGUUCUAUGGAUAUAUUUUCUGUGUGUUUUGAUUAGUUAAAAAUAAUGCUGUGUUCAAAGGACCAUUGUUCUGUUUCUAUCAAAAUGGUGUAGAUUACACUGAUUUUACACUCUGUGUCUUUUUUUGUGUUUAUGGUUACACACUGGCUAUUGACAGAUUUCCAGCCAGCUUAUUGGCAGAAAAGUAAUAAUAAUGAACAUAUUGGUCUCUGUCACUACUUGUGUUACUGUUAUGGAAUGUUGACAUCUACUUCUAAAUAGCACAAGCAAUCAUUGUAGUCUUUUAUACCACAAUGUUUUUGUUAAAUAUCCAUCUUUAGAGCAGAAGUUACCAGAAGAAGCAAUUUCAGUUCAUAUUUAAAUUUUUGUAAAGUUUUACAGCAGCCAGUUGCCUUUGGUUUUAUUCUUCAGUUUCUAUUUACCAUGACUGUUUUAAAUUGACAAGUGGUUUAUCAUCAGAUAGUACAUAUUUAUUGCAUAUUUGCAGCAUUCUUGUGGCUCAUGUAGUUAUGGCGAGAGAACGAAACGUAUACACACCGAAUGUGGUGAGAAGUAUGUACAGUUCAUGCCUGGCCACAGCUGCACAACUCCAACAAUGCUGCAAACAUGCAAUAAAUAUGUACCAUCUGAUGAUACUGAUUCAAAACAGAUCUUGGUAAAUAAAGAUUGAAAAAUAAUACAAAACGUGGCUGACAGUAAUUUCUGGAAAGUUUUUUUUUUCCCACCUCGCAGAUUAUAUUAGUGGAAAAAAUAAUAGAAAUUUUUUGUGGCUAUUGUGAACCUUUGGCAGACUUAGUGAUAAACAAUUAUUAUAUUUUUCUAAAUUUUGAUUAAAAUAACCUCUUGGUUGACAGAUAGCAAUGAUGGCGCAGGGUUGUUUGUUACAUAGGCCUACAUCAUUCCACAUACUUAGAAUGAGUAAGAGCUGCACAUGCAAUGCAAAUAGAUCAAAACAUAUGUUCAGAUUACUUUUAUUGUUGUCAUUGUCAGUAGCAGUGGGAAGUACAUCAGUGGGGAUGGUGGAUAGGGCAACAGUUGGCUUUUGCCUUCCUGUACAUUGUACUGCGGCUGAGAAAGCUGUGUGGUGCCUAGAAAAAAUCAGUCAUUAUAGUGGGCACAUAGGUGUCAAGAACUGCAGUUGGCUGACUCUUAGCCACUGCUACAAUCACAGAAUUAUUUUAGUCUAGGCGUAAUGUGGUAGUGAAAAAUCAGUUAAAGCUGAAAUUUGAUUUGCACUAUCGAAACAAGACAGAAAUAUAACUUUUGUGUAAACUUUGCAUCCUUAACUAAGAUGUACUAUGGUAUGAAGAUAUUUGAGAAGCUCAAAUCUAACAUACAAGAAGUAAUUAGUAUCUCAGCAAAUUCAAAGGAAAAUUUAAAACACAUCUCAUUAGUGACUCCAGCCACUGAUUAUCUUAGUGCAAGGAUU